RNAcentral lists this ribosomal RNA (190 nucleotides) under Rubia tinctorum (madder). RNAcentral's name for it is "5.8S ribosomal RNA". The stretch from base 5 to 160 matches the Rfam family "5.8S ribosomal RNA". Rfam says of the family: 5.8S ribosomal RNA (5.8S rRNA) is a component of the large subunit of the eukaryotic ribosome. It is transcribed by RNA polymerase I as part of the 45S precursor that also contains 18S and 28S rRNA. Lineage: Eukaryota; Viridiplantae; Streptophyta; Magnoliopsida; Gentianales; Rubiaceae. The record is from RNAcentral.
ACACGACUCUCGGCAACGGAUAUCUAGGCUCUCGCAUCGAUGAAGAACGUAGCAAAAUGCGAUACUUGGUGUGAAUUGCAGAAUCCCGUGAAUCAUCGAGUUUUUGAACGCAAGUUGCGCCCGAAGCCAUCCGGCCAAGGGCACGUCUGCCUGGGCGUCACGCAUCUCGUCGCCAUCCCUCCUCGUCCUC